RNAcentral lists this ribosomal RNA (244 nucleotides) under Ixodes persulcatus (taiga tick). Its description in RNAcentral is "partial large subunit ribosomal RNA". Lineage: Eukaryota; Metazoa; Arthropoda; Arachnida; Ixodida; Ixodidae. The record is from RNAcentral.
UAUACAAAGGUAUUGAAAUAAGAUUUUAAAUGAGUGCUAAGAGRAUGAUUGAWCAAUUAUAGGCUUUCUUUAGUUAAAUAAUUAAAUUUAAUUUUUUUAGUGCAAAAGCAAAAAUUAAAUUUAGGGACAAGAAGACCCUAUGAAUUUUAAUUUAAUUUAUAAUUUGAAAUUUUAAAUUAAAUUUGAUUGGGGCGAUGGAAAAAGAAUGAGUAUCUUUUUUAGUUAUAAAAAUUGGCUCCGUUAA